RNAcentral lists this ribosomal RNA (393 nucleotides) under uncultured bacterium. Its description in RNAcentral is "partial 16S ribosomal RNA". It matches the Rfam family "Bacterial small subunit ribosomal RNA", at positions 523 to 918 of the family's 1533-position model. The record is from RNAcentral.
AUACGGAGGAUGCGAGCGUUAUCCGGAUUUAUUGGGUUUAAAGGGUGCGUAGGCUGUGCGUUAAGUCAGGGGUGAAAUGCCGUCGCUCAACGACGGAGCUGCCCUUGAUACUGGCGUGCUGGAGUACGGAUGCCGUUGGAGGAAUGAGUGGUGUAGCGGUGAAAUGCUUAGAUAUCACUCAGAACACCGAUUGCGAAGGCAUCUGACGAAUCCGUCACUGACGCUGAGGCACGAAAGCGUGGGGAUAGAACAGGAUUAGAUGCCCUGGUAUUCCACGCCGUAAACGAUGAUGACUAACCGUCGGCGAUAGACAGCCGGUGGCCAAGCGAAAGCGAUAAGUCAUCCACCUGGGGAGUACGACCGCAAGGUUGAAACUCAAAUGAAUUGACGGGG